AAGGGGCUAGUUAAGUCUAUAACGUAAACUUGUCGAGUUUGAGUUACCCAGUAUGGGUGCUCUUUU
Molecule: transfer RNA, 66 nt
Filed under: Cumberlandia monodonta
Lineage: Eukaryota; Metazoa; Mollusca; Bivalvia; Unionida; Margaritiferidae
Description: tRNA-Asp
Source: RNAcentral